Molecule: long non-coding RNA, 201 nt
Filed under: Mytilus galloprovincialis (Mediterranean mussel)
Lineage: Eukaryota; Metazoa; Mollusca; Bivalvia; Mytilida; Mytilidae
Source: RNAcentral
GUCUGCGAUUGUAUUUCAAAUAGCGGAUACAUAGGAUUUUUGACUGCUCUUAGUCUUACAUUUAAUUUGUGUUUAUAUAUUUCAAUAUGGUAUAUGGAUUGCAAUAUGCAGUAUGAAUUUUGCUCAUUGUUGAUGGUCGUAAAGUAACGUGCAGUUGUUAGCUUCUAUGUUAUUUUGUCUCAUAUUUCCCCAUACCACAUG